This 406-nucleotide ribosomal RNA is filed under the name uncultured bacterium. RNAcentral describes it as "partial 16S ribosomal RNA". It matches the Rfam family "Bacterial small subunit ribosomal RNA", at positions 30 to 526 of the family's 1533-position model. The record is from RNAcentral.
AUUGAACGCUGGCGGCAGGCCUAACACAUGCAAGUCGAACGAGUGGCGGACGGGUGAGUAAUGUCUGGGAAACUGCCUGAUGGAGGGGGAUAACUACUGGAAACGGUAGCUAAUACCGCAUACCAUCAGAUGUGCCCAGGUGGGAUUAGCUAGUUGGUGGGGUAACGGCUCACCAAGGGGACGAUCCCUAGCUGGCCUGAGAGGAUGACCGGCCACACUGGGACUGAGACACGGCCCAGACUCCUACGGGAGGCAGCAGUGGGGAAUAUUGCGCAAUGGGCGAAAGCCUGACGCAGCCACGCCGCGUGUAUGAAGAAGGUUUUCGGGUCGUAAAGCUCUGUCAGCGGGGAGGCGUUAUCUGCACAAAAAGCACCGGCUAACUACGUGCCAGCAGCCGCGGUAAUAC